GCCGCCCUAUGCCCCUCCGCCUACCGCGCCUCCCUCCGCUUGCAGGAUCCAGCACGAACUGCUGCCCUCCGCCGAGUACCUGCAAUCGAUCCCGACCUGACCUCAUUCUCCCCUGCCCGUGCCACAUAUCGAGCGCAUCUACGGGCGUCGCAGCAUGUGGAGCGAUUGGCGGCGUUGCUUAGACUCCGCACAUGGGUGACUCACGCUCGCAUGCCAUGGUUGGAUUUGGGGGCGACCGCUCCAUUCAGGGCCUCACCACUCGCGCGCCCAUGGCAGCCACAAAGGUCCCGGAUGGCCCUCCUGUGGAGGACUGAGGAGGACGUGAGGAGGGCAACGCACGAACAGUGUGCGGGGGUGGAGGCCACCGGUACAGGAAGAAGAGUGGCUAUACUGCUUCCCUGACUCGCUCAUCAUUGCCUCGUGGGUAGCCAUACUCAACUCUCUCGAUGGACACGGCGACGGCAAACAAGAGGUAACACUAAUGCAAGAAGAUCAAUUGCGCUCCAGCAAAUAGGUGCGCACUGAGAAAAUAUAAGCUACAAGAUAGCCAGGUUGAUUUUCCGGAAGAUCUAGUUGCGGAUCUUCCUCAGAACGGAUGUUGAUUGUCAAAUUCGUAUCAAGAUAAGAGCAAUUGCUGAAAGGGGACCUGAUGUUCCUCCUGCAGCAGCAGAGACCGAAUCAUGCUCCUGCAGCCCCUGCAGGGCAAGCAAGCUAAGGGGCAUUUACUCAAUGGAUCAUGCUAAUUAUGUGAAAUGGGCAUCUAGACUUGGCCGAGCAUCACAAUAACCUCGCCGAAGUUGCUCAUUCGGUGAUUAUGAAUUUUAAUUCCCAUCUGAAAUGUUCUACGUUCCUUUCCAUUGUUUUUUUUAAAAGACUCCUUGCCAUUAUAUAUAUGCAUGUCUUAUGACUCAGAUGUACAAAUAUACCUUGUAAGAUGCCGUUACCCCAUAGCAUAUGGGGAUCCUUCAAAUUUAAAAAAAUAUUCAAUACAAAUGUUGCUCAUA
Molecule: long non-coding RNA, 1004 nt
Organism: Panicum virgatum (switchgrass)
Lineage: Eukaryota; Viridiplantae; Streptophyta; Magnoliopsida; Poales; Poaceae
Exons: 4
Source: RefSeq, a predicted model, not a curated record